ACAUCCAGAGAACUUAGCAGAGAUGCUUUGGUGCCUUCGGGAACUCUGAGACAGGUGCUGCAUGGCUGUCGUCAGCUCGUGUUGUGAAAUGUUGGGUUAAGUCCCGNAACGAGCGCAACCCCUAUCCUUUGUUGCCAGCGAUUCGGUCGGGAACUCAAAGGAGACUGCCGGUGAUAAACCGGAGGAAGGUGGGGAUGACGUCAAGUCAUCAUGGCCCUUACGGGUAGGGCUACACACGUGCUACAAUGGCGCAUACAAAGAGAAGCGACCUCGCGAGAGCAAGCGGACCUCAUAAAGUGCGUCGUAGCCCGGAUUGGAGUCUGCAACUCGACUCCAUGAAGUCGGAAUCGCUAGUAAUCGUAGAUCAGAAUGCUACGGUGAAUACGUUCCCGGGCCUUGUACACACCGCCCGUCACACCAUGGGAGUGGGUUGCAAAAGAAGUAGAUAGCUUAACCUUCGGGAGGGCGUUUACCACUUUGUGAUUCAUGACUGGGGUGAAGUCGUAACAAGGUAAGCGUAGCGAG
RNAcentral lists this ribosomal RNA (525 nucleotides) under uncultured bacterium. RNAcentral describes it as "bacterial SSU rRNA". It matches the Rfam family "Bacterial small subunit ribosomal RNA", at positions 984 to 1509 of the family's 1533-position model. The record is from RNAcentral.